UUAUAGUCAUCAUCUCUUUAUCUCUGUUUUGUUUUUGUCAAGAGACUUAUCAACCUGUUUUGUUACUUCUGCUGCCUCUAUUUCAUAAAAUUCAGCUGGCAGGUUUAUUUCUUCCACCUGAUUUCUCCCUUGAUUUGCCUUGAGUGGGUUGGGGAUGUUGGGUUCCACCCUGCUUCCUUGUUUUCUCGUUGCUGUUCAUUCAUUUUCUGCUUUGAGGUUUAUAAAUUGCUUAUGUAGUAAGACUUAUUACUAGUAAACUCUACUACUAUCAUCAAGGCCUUUUUUAGGAAAUGACUACUUUUCAGAGAUAAAGCCUAGGCAUAACUGAAUUUGGCUUUUCAGAUUGUGGCUGCCUACAUGGCCUAGCAUCCAGUUCUUUGGUACUGGACCAUAGUAUUAGGUAUGACUCCCAGACAGUCUAGGUAUUGGCAUACAAGGAAGAUCAAUUGAUCACAACUAUGUUACCUUUGCUAAAAUAGUACAAUCAGUAAUAAAAAUGGUAUCAAGUACAGACUAGAAAAUGACAAACUGUUGUAACAAUUUGUCAACUUUAACCACAGGUAUAAGAUUUAUAGUUAUGUAACAAGAACUAAAAUAAAUCAGGCAAUUAUGUAUGGUAAAUGUCCACUCAGUAGAGCAAUUUUACCCUAAGGGGAGAAAUUUUAAAAGGGAGAAGAAAAAACUAGAGAAAUGAAAGAAAAAAGUGAUUAGAAACAAGGCUGAAGGACAAAAGAGAUUACUCAGGUCUUGGGAUGUUGUUGAAGAGAACAGGAAGGAAAGAAAGAAGAUAAAAACAAAAACAAGAAAACUAAAAAUAAUGUUCAUGCUCAUGAAAUGACAAAGCAAACCAUCAAAAAGCCCCAAACAAACUGAGAGACAGAGACAAAUGCCAGAGUGUUGACUGUCAGCUACUCAGCUUCUCCAGAUUGCCAACAGUUUGGAAAACACCAACCCAGAGAGAAUUCAAAGGGAGUGCAUGGAACGUGGAAACCUUGAGGGAACUGACGGUGGAGAAGAAGUAAGAUUCAUUGCCACAGAAGAAACAGCUCACCACUGCAGAUCUCAGAUCAUGAGGUGUGUCUAGCUCAGUGGUGUUUGGCUGGUGCACAGAAAGCAAAAGCAACUUUGCUCCUUAUUGGGACUGACCUUAACUAGGAGACUCAUACAGUCGGAGGCAGCAGUUAGAACAGGAGACAUUAUUUCCUGAGCCUUCCUUCCCAGAAUCAGCGGUUGGGCCAGGGAAGUGGAGAAGUAACUGAAGAGUGACUCCAAGCAGGACACGAGAACCAAAUCUCAGUCAUCUCAGAUGCAGAAAGAAAAGUCAUUCCAGAAAGAUGAGAAUAUUUGCAAUCUUUAUAUUCACAUUCUGCUAUCACUUGCUGCAUGCAUUUACUAUCACAGUUCCCAAGGACCUGUAUGUCAUAGAAUAUGGCAGCAAUGUGACAAUUGAAUGCAACUUCCCAGUACAAAAACAAUUGGACCUGCUUUCAUUAGUCGUCUACUGGGAAAAAGAUGAUAAGCAAAUCAUUCAGUUUGUGCAUGGAACGGAAGACCCCAAGGCUCAGCACAGUAGCUUCAGGCAUAGGGCCUGGCUGCUCAAAGACCAGCUCUUCAAGGGAAAUGCUGCACUUCUGAUCACAGAUGUCAAAUUACAAGAUGCAGGGGUUUACUGCUGCAUGAUCGGUUAUGGUGGUGCGGACUAUAAGCGGAUUACUUUGAAAGUCAAUGCCCCAUAUCGCAAAAUCAACCAGAGAAUUUCCGUGGAUCCAGUCACCUCUGAAUACGAACUAACGUGUCAGGCUGAGGGUUACCCUGAGGCUGAAGUCAUCUGGGAAAGCAGUGACCAGCAAAUCCUCAGUGGCAACACUGUCGUCACCAAGUCUCAGAGGGAGGAGAAAUUUUUCAAUGUGACCAGCAUGCUGAGAAUCAACGCAACAGCUAAUAAGAUUUUCUACUGUACUUUUCGGAGAUUAGGUUCUGGGGGAAACUAUACAGCUGAGUUGAUCAUCCCAGAAUCGCCUACUGUAUUUCCAACAAAUAAGAGGAAUCAUUUUGUGAUGAUGGCAACCAUCCCGUUGUUCUUUGUUGUGGCACUUGUCCUCCUCUACCUAAGAAAAGAUGUGAAUGCGAUAGAUGUGGAAAAAUGCAGCAUCCGAGAUACAAACUCAGAGAAACAAAAUGGUAAGAAUAUCAGAAGGAAAAAAUAAAAGACUAUCAGAAGGGACUGGGAAGAUGAAGGAAGGAAACAAAAAGUUAAAGCAACAGCAAAGAAAUCUAUCCGUCGUGGUCUCCCCUUGCUUUAGAGGCCAGUUAUGAGAACUGCUGGCUCGCCUUUGCCUUGAAACUGAAAACUCCUUCCACAGUCUGAGAAGAUUCCGCGAUGGCCCUUUAGGAUCCACAGUUUGAGGAGACGUAACCAGCACUGAAACUUGUGAUUUUCAAGCAGGGAUUCUCAUCCUGUGGUUUGGAAGUUCAGGAAAGAAAAGGCACAUGGCAUGCAAGGGAUGUUAAAGGCCCAAGCAUUGAAAAUGGGACCUGGGGAAAGAAGAGGAGGAGAAAGACUAAGAAAGAUGGAAUACAAGGGGAUCCUGGAAGGAAACCUUGGUACUUUGAUAACUGACAGAGUGUAAUGUAUGAAAGAGGCAAAAGACCUUAUGAGUGAGGAGCAGGUUGAGAAUCCCUGAUUAAUGGUCCGCCCUGUGGAAGUGCCCAGUGCCUACACUCUGCUUCCUCUCAUCCUCUGCCUCACCAAUAGCCCCAGGACUGCAGCAGUAAUUAUGAAUUGUUCCUAUUUAUUUUGAGUCCAUAGUGUCUUCUUGACAUGUGAGUUAUUUCUUUUGAAGAUAUAGUAGAUGUUAAAAUUCUGCUUCUUAAUUGCUUGUUUGUGAGGUGCUCAGAAUCCUCUGUAAGUAUUGUUACAAAAAGGAAGCAUUGGAUUACAUGGCUCUUACCUUAUUUAACCAACUCCUCAAGUUGGGCUGACUUGAAUUAUCCUCAGACUUCAAAGGUUCGUUACAGUGUCAGGCUCACAUAAAUACGAGCUUUACAACUGUGCGGUACCUUCCUCGUGUAAUCCCAGUUCAUCUCUGUAACCCUGUCCUGGUGACCCUUAUUUCUAUACUCAUUUACUAGUGGAGGAUGCAGAGAAGUUACAUAACUUGACCACAGCAGAAACUAUCAGCCCUCAGAUUGCUGCAAUUUACCUGCUGUCCUGUAUAGCUGUCCUUUCAGAAAUGUAUUCAUGCAAAAAGUAUUUAAGUAUCUUUGCAUAUUAUGGGUGCCUUGCACCAUGCAAGGCAUUGAGUCUACACAUGUGAGCAAGACAGAGAACUGUGGAAAGUAACUCUUGAGUUCCUUUCUUAGAUUAUGUUUACACUGAUUUAUUUGCCUUUGGUGUGUGAUCUGAUGUUUGUCUAUUAUGGCUUAGGGGUCUUUUUUUUUUUUUCCUGUCUAAAUGCUAUUGAGUUUUGAAUGCACACUCUUCUGUGUUUCAAAAUUCAAGUGGUCCAAUAGAAAAUGAUAAAAAACUUCCAUCCCAUCCUCCUGUAUCUACCUUUCCAUUCCAUGAGCAACAGAUGUUGCCUUUUGUCCAUGUAUUCUUUUUUUUUUUUUUUGUCUUUUUCCUUUUUAUCGGUACCAGGGAUCGAACUCAUGACUGCCUGCUUGCAAGGCAGGCGCUUAUGCCACUGAGCUAAAUCCCCAGCCCCUGUCCAUGUAUUCUUAUAAGUAUGGUCUCUGUAUGUGAAUGUAUGUGAAAAGUACAUCUAAAAAUUUUCCCUGUGAUAAGAAAUUAUGUAGGUACUAUUCAUUUUGCUAUUUUUAUUUAAUAUAUUAUUUUUGAUGUAGCAGCUGGACCAAAUUUGAGGUUCCCAGAAGUCAGAAACUAUGUCAUGUCUGUUUCUGAAUUAUCAUUCCCAUAGCCUCUUUGUAUCUUUCAUGUGAUCAUGUGAUUUACUACAUGCUGUAUAUCUACUACAUAUACCUUUGGGCAAACAUCACUGUUAAGCUCUUGCACUAAUACUGACUUUGGAUUUGACUUGUUUUGUGUUUUCUCAAAAGGAGACCCAUGGGUUGCCCAGGGUACAGUGAGUUAAUCCAGUACUAAUGGUAGCCUUAUUACUAAUUCUGCAUGGAGAAACAUGUCUAGAACUUUUGUUUACUGUGUUCUCUUGAAUACAAACUUCACUUUGCUGCUGUACUUGUGUAAUUACAUAUUCCUUCUGGAGAUUCUAACAAUACACCUUGACUUCUGGUUGCACGGGAUCCUCAUCUGUUCCAGAAAAGGUUCAGUAUCUCUGCUGGAACCUUUGAAAUCUACUGGCUCUUAUCACUACCAGGACCUCCCAAGAUACUGUUUUCCAGAGCCCUUUAGGUUCUGACCUCUUUGGAAGUCCCAGAAGUUUUUUUCUCAUGGUCAUUUGCUCGAAUCUUCGUUUUGCCACAUGUCAAGACUGAAGAAACAGAAUUUCCAACAGAACUCUGUUAUCUGCUUGUACGUAUUUAUGCAAUUAUUUGUGACUCUAGCUGAGCAUGAACACAUGUUCACUGAUCCCUAAAUUGUAAUAUUUUCUGUAAGGCACUUUACCCUCUUCAUCACUGUAGAUAAUGUAAGCAGAGAUGACAUAUAAUUCUGUGUUUGUCACUGAUUGUAUUAAUUUUAUAAAAUAUUUUUAUUUAUUUUGUUCCUCAAUACAUCUGCAUGUCCAUUUUCUUAUUUUCUCUGUGUCUUAUAAAACCACUCCCAGAUUAACCUCUCAGUGGAGAGUUGCUUGGAGAAUCUGCAGACCUCUUCCUAGUUAUUUCUUUUUCAUAGCUUUUAUGUUUAUACAGCAUACUUUUCAAUCCUACAUGAUGAGAAUAAAAAGUAUUUAUUUUUUUAAAAAAAUAAUUUAUUGAAAAAUUUCAUUGUCUUACGCAUUGUAGCUUCUUUCAUAAAAAAAAAAAAAACAGUAAAAUUCUGUCAUCUGUACUGAAGAGCUGCCAAAGCAAAAAGAAGGAGUCCUCAAGAGAAUGAGGGAAACAAAGGGCCUUUUCUUUAAGACAGCACCCUUCUGGUGUCUGUAAACAUGGAUGUGCAAGCUUGUACCUGUUAAACUGGAUGUAUGUCAGUCUUCGGUUUCUUAGAGAAAAGUAAGAAACCUAGAACUCUGUCAAAUUGAGAAUUAAGGCCUAAGAACUGGAAGGGAACAUAAGAAAAUCUGUGGUUUUAAAACAAACAUGGUAACACUUGUCAUUCAAGAAAGUGUAGAUCUUUUACUAGCUGGUUUGACUAUAUAGUCAUCAAAUUCAAUUUAAAGAGAUUUAUUUUUUAAAUUUA
Cavia porcellus (domestic guinea pig) is the source of this 5317-nucleotide RNA transcript. It is a transcript of the gene named CD274 molecule, with no coding region annotated. The record is from RefSeq and is a predicted model, not a curated record. Lineage: Eukaryota; Metazoa; Chordata; Mammalia; Rodentia; Caviidae. The transcript has 8 exons.